Molecule: ribosomal RNA, 236 nt
Filed under: uncultured bacterium
Lineage: Bacteria
Description: partial 16S ribosomal RNA
Rfam family: Bacterial small subunit ribosomal RNA
Source: RNAcentral
CGGCGGACGGGUGAGUAACGCGUGGGUAACCUGCCUCGUACAGGGGGAUAACAGUUAGAAAUGACUGCUAAUACCGCAUAAGACCACAGCACCGCAUGGUGCAGGGGUAAAAACUCCGGUGGUAUGAGAUGGACCCGCGUCUGAUUAGCUAGUUGGUAAGGUAACGGCUUACCAAGCCGACGAUCAGUAGCCGACCUGAGAGGGUGACCGGCCACAUUGGACUGAGACACGGCCAA